Molecule: long non-coding RNA, 138 nt
Organism: Sapajus apella (tufted capuchin)
Lineage: Eukaryota; Metazoa; Chordata; Mammalia; Primates; Cebidae
Exons: 3
Source: RefSeq, a predicted model, not a curated record
UUUAUUUAAGGUUCUUUUUUUUUUGUGUGCAGUUCUCAAUUCUUUAAAGAGAUGACCACAAAUUUUGGUUUUCUACUGUUAUAUGAGAACAUUAGGCCCCAGCGACACAUCACUGGGUAAGGAAAAACAAAAGUGCUG